This 252-nucleotide long non-coding RNA is filed under the name Lathyrus oleraceus (garden pea). RNAcentral's name for it is "Pisum sativum (pea) long non-coding RNA (PSAT_LNC038534)". The record is from RNAcentral. Lineage: Eukaryota; Viridiplantae; Streptophyta; Magnoliopsida; Fabales; Fabaceae.
GUUGAUACGCCAUUGUUGUUGAUGUCAUUGUGUUGAUGAUGACAUUGUUGUUGAUGAUGCCUUUGUUGUUGAUAUGUAAUUAUUUUUUAUUCAAUUGUUGUUGAUAUGUAAUUGUUGUUGAUUCCAUUGUGUUGAUGAUUCCAUUGUUGUUGAUGAUAUAUUUGUUGUUGAUGUUGCCAUUGUGUUGAUGAUGCCAUUAUUGUUUAUGUAUUUGUUGUUUUUAAUGUCAUUGGGUUGAUAAUGUCAUUUUUG